UCACCGAAUGAAAAAUCAAAUGUCUUCAGGGACCCGGCAGGAUCCCGAAGGACGCCGCUCUAAGCCAGAGGGAGCGGUGUGUGUUGUGGCUGAAGUGGAAAAUACAAGCCCAGUUUAAAGGCAUUCAAACAUGAAUUGUUUUUUUUAAAGCCAUGCGAGCCAAACAAAACAUGUCAGCAGUUCUUUUAUCUGAAAGUGAAGUUCUGGGAACACUGGGAUGUAGAGAAAGUGGUGUGAAACUUUGAGCUAGAUUUAGCUGGAUUUGGUUUUCCUUUGUUAUGACGUGGGUAUGUCAGUUGAUAUAGUUUGGCUCUGUGUCCCUACCCAAAUCUCAUCGAGACUGUAAUCCAUAUGUACUGAGAGAGGGACCUGGUAGAUGGAGAUUGGAUCAUGGUGGCCAUUUCCCCUAUGCUGUUCUCCUGAUAGUGAAUGAGUUCUCACAAGAGCUGAUGGUUUUAAAAGUGUGGCACUUACUCACUCUCGCUGUCUCCUACCACCUUGUGAAGAAGGUGCCUGCUUCUCCUUUGCCUUCCACUAUGAUUGUAAGUUUCCUGAGGCCUCCGCAGUCAUGUGGAACUGUGAGUCAACUAAACCUCUUUUGUUUAUAAAUUACCCAGUCUCAGUAUCUUUGUAGCAGUGUGAAAAUGAACGAAUACAUUAGUCAAUCUGUUUAACAAACCUAUAUUGUUAUAAUUCAACUGGAGAAAAUAAUAACCUACUUCUCAAAGUUAUGAGCCUUAGUUUUGGAGACCAUGAAGGAGACAGGACUGGACUUCAAUAAGGGAUGGUUGUUAUGAUUAUGCAUAUCAUACUUUUUACUGGGUGAGAUGUUUAUAUGACAAUUAUUUGCUGCCUUAGCUAUUGGUUUAAAAUAACUAAUUUUUGUUAAUUAUAUUGCCAUGACACUAUGAUUUUGUUAAUAUUUUUGUUAAAUAGAGCAUAAAGGUUUUGAGUAGUAAAAAAGCUGAGCUGAUAAUAUUUAGAGCAUAUACCUUAGUCUUUCAUAUCUUGGAUUGAUUUAAAAUAUUUUAAAAUGAGAUUAUCUUUUUUCUUCAGGGAUAAUUUAUACUUUAUUUUUGGUUUCCUAUGAA
This 1091-nucleotide long non-coding RNA is filed under the name Pan troglodytes (chimpanzee). RNAcentral describes it as "long non-coding RNA NONPTRT006910". Lineage: Eukaryota; Metazoa; Chordata; Mammalia; Primates; Hominidae. The record is from RNAcentral.